This 375-nucleotide long non-coding RNA is filed under the name Heterocephalus glaber (naked mole-rat). RNAcentral's name for it is "lncRNA (ENSHGLG00000040508.1)". Lineage: Eukaryota; Metazoa; Chordata; Mammalia; Rodentia; Bathyergidae. The record is from RNAcentral.
AAAAAAAACGAGGCAAACUUCAAGUAGCUGCCAGUUGCACCUGUAGUCCCAGAUACUUGAGAUACUGAGGGAUUGAACUUGGGUCCUUGAGCUUGCGCAGCAGGUGGAGAAACCACUGAGCUAAAUCCCCAUCCUCUAAUAUAUUCUUUAUGGUAAUAACCUCCUUUUGAUUCAGCUUAGAGACCAGAACUACAAAGGUAACUGAGUUAAGAAGACAGCCAAUAUCUUGGUCCUGGCCCUCCAAGGUCAACAAAUAAUCCAGGACUUGUGAGAACCUUUUCUACAAGAUCCUACAACUUUGUUGAUCUAUCUCUUUGUGAAAGUGGGGUUUUACCUCAGUUGCCCGUGAACUAGCACAAACAAUCAACAAAUGGG